AGCGGUAAGGCCUUUCGGGGUACACGAGCGGCGAACGGGUGAGUAACACGUGGGUGAUCUGCCCUGCACUCUGGGAUAAGCUUGGGAAACUGGGUCUAAUACCGGAUAUGACCGCAUGCCGCAUGGUGUGUGGUGGAAAGAUUUAUCGGUGCAGGAUGGGCCCGCGGCCUAUCAGCUUGUUGGUGGGAUNNUGGCCUACCAAGGCGACGACGGGUAGCCGACCUGAGAGGGUGACCGGCCACACUGGGACUGAGACACGGCCCAGACUCCUACGGGAGGCAGCAGUGGGGAAUAUUGCACAAUGGGCGGAAGCCUGAUGCAGCGACGCCGCGUGAGGGAUGAAGGCCUUCGGGUUGUAAACCUCUUUCAGCAGGGACGAAGCGUGAGUGACGGUACCUGCAGAAGAAGCACCGGCUAACUACGUGCCAGCAGCCGCGGUAAUACGUAGGGUGCGAGCGUUGUCCGGAAUUACUGGGCGUAAAGAGUUCGUAGGCGGUUUGUCGCGUCGUUUGUGAAAACCCGGGGCUCAACUUCGGGCUUGCAGGCGAUACGGGCAGACUUGAGUGUUUCAGGGGAGACUGGAAUUCCUGGUGUAGCGGUGAAAUGCGCAGAUAUCAGGAGGAACACCGGUGGCGAAGGCGGGUCUCUGGGAAACAACUGACGCUGAGGAACGAAAGCGUGGGUAGCAAACAGGAUUAGAUACCCUGGUAGUCCACGCCGUAAACGGUGGGCGC
This 734-nucleotide ribosomal RNA is filed under the name Gram-positive bacterium SY002. Its description in RNAcentral is "bacterial SSU rRNA". It matches the Rfam family "Bacterial small subunit ribosomal RNA", at positions 65 to 816 of the family's 1533-position model. The record is from RNAcentral.